UUCUCUAUUUGAGUAUAAAUAUAGCUACAGCUUCACUCUAGCUUUACGUGGAGUCAAUAUGAUCUCUAUUGACUGACGAAAUGGAGAAACUCGUUAUUUUGUUAGUCCUUCUAGUCACAUUUGUAGAACACAGUUCAACCCAAGAAUGUACAGAUAUUAAUGGCUUCCGUAAACAACGACGACUUCAGUGGGAUAACUGUUUAAAUACAUGUUUUGUUGGUCUUUGCUCUUUGCCUGAUUGUACCAAUCUUAUAAACACGUGUUCAGGAACUUGCAUUCCAACUGCAUUUAGUGCUCCUCCAAGCUGCAACAAUCAGCAGGCUAUAAUACAGGUUGUACAAAGUGAAGAUAACAAAUGGAAUAAAUGUAUAACAAAGUGCAAUUCAGGAUCAUGCCGUGGUUCAUGUAAAUCUAGAACAAUCUGUGGAAGUUUGUUUAGAUGUGUCUCAAAGAACUCUUCACUGUAGAGGUCAAAUUGGUUCCAAAAGAUUAACCCUAAAUAUGUAAAUACAAUGUAUAUAUUCUGAACUCUGUUUCCAUUUCGAAAUAAACGAACUGUAGAAUUUUC
Molecule: long non-coding RNA, 568 nt
Organism: Mytilus californianus (California mussel)
Lineage: Eukaryota; Metazoa; Mollusca; Bivalvia; Mytilida; Mytilidae
Exons: 2
Source: RefSeq, a predicted model, not a curated record